UCGGGAAUUUUGCUCAAUGGGCGAAAGCCUGAAGCAGCAACGCCGCGUGAGGGAUGACGGCCUUCGGGUUGUAAACCUCUUUUUUCGGGGACGAUAAUGACGGUACCCGAAGAAUAAGCCACGGCUAACUACGUGCCAGCAGCCGCGGUAAUACGUAGGUGGCGAGCGUUGUCCGGAUUUACUGGGCGUAAAGAGCGCGCAGGCGGUCGUGCAAGUCGGAUGUGAAAUCCCCCGGCUCAACUGGGGAGGGUCAUUCGAUACUGCUCGACUCGAAGGCGGGAGAGGGAAGCGGAAUUCCCGGUGUAGUGGUGAAAUGCGUAGAUAUCGGGAGGAACACCAGUGGCGAAGGCGGCUUCCUGGCCCGUUCUUGACGCUGAGGCGCGAAAGCUAGGGGAGCAAACGGG
This 404-nucleotide ribosomal RNA is filed under the name uncultured bacterium. RNAcentral's name for it is "bacterial SSU rRNA". It matches the Rfam family "Bacterial small subunit ribosomal RNA", at positions 355 to 776 of the family's 1533-position model. The record is from RNAcentral.